This is a long non-coding RNA of Bolinopsis microptera, 745 nucleotides long. RefSeq lists it as uncharacterized. The transcript is spliced from 3 exons. Lineage: Eukaryota; Metazoa; Ctenophora; Tentaculata; Lobata; Bolinopsidae. The record is from RefSeq and is a predicted model, not a curated record.
GAAGUGUGCUAUCUCCCUUGACAGCCCCUCUAGUAAACCUCUCCGGAGCUGCAAGAGAGGAGUAGUUGCUAUGACAACCAGCACUAAACACUCUCUAUCAAACACCUUGUUCUAUAUUGCGUUUGGGGGACUGCCCUGCGUGGACGAUACCAAUCUGGUGUACGGGGAAAUCAUCGAGGGGUUUGAUGUGUUAGACGCGAUUGAAGCAGCAGGAAGCGUAACUGGGAAACCGAAAACAAGCGUCAGAAUAAUCGAAUGUGGCAGGUAUAACGAGCGGAAACAUGGCAUGAUCCUCAGUAAGUUACAGGUGCAGAACCUAAAGAGUGCCGCAGGAAACCUCAAGCUUGACUCAUUAACUUGAAGUUGUCUUGGGCAGCAGGAUUUAGGCAGUUAGAAUAAAGAUAUCAGAGAUACUGUACUAUAGAGUAUAGACUAUACUGUCUUGACAGGGGACUCACGAGUUGCGAUCAGUUUUGAAGGGAUUUUACUUCGACGAACUUAAUUUAAAUUGUAAAUUUUAAGUGAUAUAAAUAAGUUGAUAGACUAGAGUGCUGGUUGAAGGUGACGCGCAUGUAACAGCAAUUAACCAUUGAGCGUACGACCAGCAGAGGCUUACAAGUAAAUUAGUAAAUCUUGGCCACGUGCCAAAACAAAUUCCUUUUUUAACAGAAGUCAAAUAAUCUGUUACUCUCAUUAAUCAUUAUGAAUGCUUAAAAACGUGUACGUAUAUGUUAUUUGAAUCAUU